Molecule: ribosomal RNA, 408 nt
Filed under: uncultured bacterium
Lineage: Bacteria
Description: bacterial SSU rRNA
Rfam family: Bacterial small subunit ribosomal RNA
Source: RNAcentral
AUAUUGGUCAAUGGACGCAAGUCUGAACCAGCCAUGCCGCGUGAAGGAUGAAGGUCCUCUGGAUUGUAAACUUCUUUUAUCUGGGACGAAAACUGGAUUUUUAUCUCAAUUGACGGUACCAGAGGAAUAAGCACCGGCUAACUCCGUGCCAGCAGCCGCGGUAAUACGGAGGGUGCGAGCGUUAUCCGGAUUUACUGGGUUUAAAGGGUGCGUAGGUGGGCUUAUAAGUCAGUGGUGAAAUCUCCGAGCUUAACUUGGAAACUGCCGUUGAUACUAUAGGUCUUGAAUUAUCUGGAGGUAAGCGGAAUAUGUCAUGUAGCGGUGAAAUGCUUAGAUAUGACAUAGAACACCAAUUGCGAAGGCAGCUUACUACAUAUAAAUUGACGCUGAGGCACGAAAGCGUGGGGA